ACACCCCCUCAAGCAUUGCUUGGUUUUGGGUAAGGUCCUUAAGGGGACCCACCCGUAACUUGUAGGUGGUCGUCGGUGACCCCCCUAGCGUAGCAGGCUAAACGCACCCGCUCGGGGGUGGCCCCUGUGGCCCGCCUAAAAACUUUAUUUCCAAAG
RNAcentral lists this unclassified non-coding RNA (156 nucleotides) under uncultured Ascomycota. RNAcentral describes it as "sequence contains ITS2". Lineage: Eukaryota; Fungi; Ascomycota. The record is from RNAcentral.